This 254-nucleotide ribosomal RNA is filed under the name uncultured bacterium. RNAcentral describes it as "partial 16S ribosomal RNA". It matches the Rfam family "Bacterial small subunit ribosomal RNA", at positions 524 to 776 of the family's 1533-position model. The record is from RNAcentral.
UACGUAGGGGGCGAGCGUUGUCCGGAUUUAUUGGGCGUAAAGAGCUCGUAGGCGGUUCGGUAAGUCGGAUGUGAAAUCUCCACGCUCAACGUGGAGGGGCCAUUCGAUACUGCCGUGACUCGAGUCCGGUAGGGGAGUGUGGAAUUCCCGGUGUAGCGGUGAAAUGCGCAGAGAUCGGGAGGAACACCCGUAGCAAAGGCGGCACUCUGGGCCGGUACUGACGCUGAGGAGCGAAAGCGUGGGGAGCAAACAGG